CGGGGGAGGCCGGAUCCUGGGCUGUGUCCCGGCGCCCUGUGCUCCGGGGCCUGGGCUGUUGGAUUCGCGCUCUGGCCCUGCAGCCCCCU
Molecule: microRNA precursor, 89 nt
Filed under: Canis lupus familiaris (dog)
Lineage: Eukaryota; Metazoa; Chordata; Mammalia; Carnivora; Canidae
Description: mir-8799 microRNA precursor family
Rfam family: mir-8799 microRNA precursor family
Source: Rfam by way of RNAcentral